This 464-nucleotide ribosomal RNA is filed under the name uncultured bacterium. Its description in RNAcentral is "bacterial SSU rRNA". It matches the Rfam family "Bacterial small subunit ribosomal RNA", at positions 1 to 507 of the family's 1533-position model. The record is from RNAcentral.
AGUAGUCAACGAGUUUGAUCAGUGGCUACAGAACGAACGCUGGCGGCAUGCCUAACACAUGCAAGUCGAACGAGACCUUCGGGUCUAGUGGCGCACGGGUGCGUAACGCGUGGGAACCUGCCUUUAGGUUCGGAAUAACUCAGAGAAAUUUGAGCUAAUACCGGAUGAUGUCUUCGGACCAAAGAUUUAUCGCCUUUAGAUGGGCCCGCGUAAGAUUAGCUAGUUGGUGGGGUAAAGGCCUACCAAGGCGACGANCUUUAGCUGGUCUGAGAGGAUGAUCAGCCACACUGGGACUGAGACACGGCCCAGACUCCUACGGGAGGCAGCAGUGGGGAAUAUUGGACAAUGGGCGAAAGCCUGAUCCAGCAAUGCCGCGUGAGUGAUGAAGGCCUUAGGGUUGUAAAGCUCUUUUACCCGAGAUGAUAAUGACAGUAUCGGGAGAAUAAGCUCCGGCUAACUCCGUG